CCGGGGCUUAUUCUUGCGGUACCGUCAUUAUCUUCCCGCACAAAAGAGCUUUACAACCCUAGGGCCUUCAUCACUCACGCGGCAUGGCUGGAUCAGGCUUGCGCCCAUUGUCCAAUAUUCCCCACUGCUGCCUCCCGUAGGAGUUUGGGCCGUGUCUCAGUCCCAAUGUGGCUGAUCAUCCUCUCAGACCAGCUACUGAUCGUCGGCUUGGUGAGCCGUUAACUCACCAACUAGCUAAUCAGACGCGGGCCGAUCUUUCGGAGAUAAAUCUUUCCCCGUAAGGGCUUAUCCGGUAUUA
RNAcentral lists this ribosomal RNA (298 nucleotides) under 2,4-D degrading bacterium M1. Its description in RNAcentral is "partial small subunit ribosomal RNA". The record is from RNAcentral. Lineage: Bacteria; Pseudomonadati; Pseudomonadota; Alphaproteobacteria; Hyphomicrobiales; Nitrobacteraceae.